CCUACGGGUGGCAGCAGUAGGGAAUAUUGCUCAAUGGGGGAAACCCUGAUGCAGCGACGCCGCGUGGAGGAUGAAGGUUUUCGGAUUGUAAACUCCUGUUGUUAGAGAAGAUAAUGACGGUAUCUAACGAAUAAGCACCGGCUAACUCCGUGCCAACAGCCGCGGGAAUACGGAGGGUGCAAGCGUUACUCGGAAUCACUGGGGGGAAAGAGGGCGGAGGCGGGAUAGCAAGGCAGAGGUGAAAUCCUAUGGCUUAACCAUAGAAUUGCAUUUGAUACUGUUAUUCUAGAGUAUGGGAGAGGUAGGUGGAAUUCUUGGUGUAGGGGUAAAAUGCGUAGAGAUCAAGAGGAAUACUCAUUGCGAAGGCGACCUGCUAGAACAUAACUGACGCUGAUGCGCGAAGGCGUGGGGAGCAAACAGGAUUAGAUACCCCUGUAGUC
RNAcentral lists this ribosomal RNA (440 nucleotides) under uncultured bacterium. RNAcentral's name for it is "partial 16S ribosomal RNA". It matches the Rfam family "Bacterial small subunit ribosomal RNA", at positions 338 to 795 of the family's 1533-position model. The record is from RNAcentral.